GACGAACGCUGGCGGCGUGCUUAACACAUGCAAGUCGAACGGAAAGGCCCUGCUUUUGUGGGGUUCUCGAUUGGCGAACGGGUGAGUAACACGUGAGUAACCUGCCCUUGACUUUGGGAUAACUUCAGGAAACUGGGGCUAAUACCGGAUAUGAGCUCCUGCUGCAUGGUGGGGGUUGGAAAGUUUCGGCGGUUGGGGAUGGACUCGCGGCUUAUCAGCUUGUUGGUGGGGUAGUGGCUUACCAAGGCUUUGACGGGUAGCCGGCCUGAGAGGGUGACCGGCCACAUUGGGCCUGAGAUACGGACCAGACUCCUACGGGAGGCAGCAGUGGGGAAUAUUGCACAAUGGGCGGAAGCCUGAUGCAGCAACGCCGCGUGCGGGAUGACGGCCUUCGGGUUGUAAACCGCUUUCGCAUGUGACGAAGCGUGAGUGACGGUAAUGGGUAAAGAAGCAACGGCUAACUACGUG
RNAcentral lists this ribosomal RNA (468 nucleotides) under uncultured bacterium. RNAcentral's name for it is "partial 16S ribosomal RNA". It matches the Rfam family "Bacterial small subunit ribosomal RNA", at positions 28 to 507 of the family's 1533-position model. The record is from RNAcentral.